CCCCGGGUGGGAUUUGUCAGGAUGCCCCGCUGGGGUGGUAGGGGGUUCCGCAUCCCGAUUCUGCCCCGGCUCGGGCCAUCGAAACGAGAUGCGCGACCCGGCUGCUCCGACGUUUGUCCCCCACAUGCGGGAUGCGAGGCCCGGCCAACCGCCGCGGGAAGCCCGCGAGGGUGUGGCGUGCGUCCCGGCACUCCCCCGUUUGCAAUGCCGCUCGGUCAUUUGGAUCCCCCGGG
RNAcentral lists this long non-coding RNA (233 nucleotides) under Elaeis guineensis (African oil palm). Its description in RNAcentral is "long non-coding RNA (EGUI_LNC074306)". The record is from RNAcentral. Lineage: Eukaryota; Viridiplantae; Streptophyta; Magnoliopsida; Arecales; Arecaceae.